This 253-nucleotide ribosomal RNA is filed under the name uncultured bacterium. RNAcentral's name for it is "partial 16S ribosomal RNA". It matches the Rfam family "Bacterial small subunit ribosomal RNA", at positions 524 to 776 of the family's 1533-position model. The record is from RNAcentral.
UACGAAGGGGGCUAGCGUUGCUCGGAAUCACUGGGCGUAAAGGGUGCGUAGGCGGGUCUUUAAGUCAGGGGUGAAAUCCCAGGGCUCAACCCUGGAACUGCCUUUGAUACUGACGAUCUGGAGAUCGGGAGAGGUUGGUGGAAUUCCGAGUGUAGAGGUGAAAUUCGUAGAUAUCAGGAGGAACACCGGUGGUGUAGACGGCUUUCUGGACCGUAACUGACGCUGAGACACGAAAGCGUGGGUAGCAAACAGG